RNAcentral lists this ribosomal RNA (497 nucleotides) under uncultured bacterium. Its description in RNAcentral is "partial 16S ribosomal RNA". It matches the Rfam family "Bacterial small subunit ribosomal RNA", at positions 28 to 507 of the family's 1533-position model. The record is from RNAcentral.
GAUGAACGCUGGCGGCGUGCCUAAUACAUGCAAGUCGAGCGAACAGACGAGGCGCUUGCUCCUCUGACGUUAGCGGAGGACGGGUGAGUAACACGUGGAUAACCUACCUAUAAGUCUGGGAUCACUUCGGGAAACCGGCGCUAAUACCGGAUAAUCUAUUGAACCGCAUGGUUCAAUAGUGAAAGACGGUUUUGCUGUCACUUAUAGAUGGAUCCGCGCCGCAUUAGCUAGUUGGUAAGGUAACGGCUUACCAAGGCAACGAUGCGUAGCCGAACUGAGAGGCGGGUCGGCGACACUGGAACUGGGACACGGUCCAGAGUCCUACGGGAGGCAGCAGUAGGGAAUCUGCGGCAAAGGGCGAAAGCAUUGCGGAGCGACGCCGCGUGAGUGAUGAAGGUCUUCGGAGCGGAAAACUCUGUUUUUGGUGAAAAACAAAUGUGUAAUGAAACAUGCACGGCGUGACGGUACCGAAUCAGAAAGCCACGGCUAACUACGUG